UUUCACGAAUUCAUAUCCCUGCGCCACGAUGGAGGUCUGAGAGACCUGCGCUGCGCAGACCACGCCUUGCGCCUCACCAACGACGAACGACCAAGAGAUUCCGGCCAAUAGGUUGAAGGUUCCGGUGAAUAGCUUUUAAGCCUCGAAUCUCUGAGUGCUUGAUUGUUGACGAAACUGGGCCAUUCUCUUCACUGCAAGAAACGAUCAAGGAAAAGCUACUAUAAAGAGGGAUAUUAUCUUUAUCCAAAGUUUGAUGCAUCUGAGGCCUAUUGAAGAGCUUUGAGGACAUGGGCAAACUGGAUUGAUCAUAAUAUUAAUCCAUCAAAGCAGUGGUCUUCUAUCGUGGCUACUCUUCUGCCCGUUUCAGAAAAUCAGGAAUUUGAACAUCAGCUUGCGACUUCGCUGUCGAUUUGAACGCCACCAUCUUCGAUGCAGUCCUUGGGAUACACCCCUACCUCCUUUUCCAUAGUCAAAUUCUUCGCUCACUGAUAUUUCAGAAUUUCAGAAAGCAGGUGCGGUUUGAUCAAUGAAGGCCGACCUGAUUUACAGAGGUCUGAUUAGAGGCCAUGAAAAUCAAUGUUGAAAUCUUUGCGGGAACCCAAAGUCAUGGGUUGAAACAUGCAGGUGACGUUAUUGACUGGAAUUCCAUAAAUCCUGAAGUCUUGCUACGUAGAAAAUUCAAAGCAUUAAUCCAUCCAAAUGAUGGCACAAAUGAUGUCACAAAUGAUGUCACAGAUGAUGUCACAUAUUUACUAUAAAAGGGCUAGCGAGAACCUUUUACAAAACACUCACAACAAACAAGUUUCCAAGAACUAAAACUUGAA
Pyrus x bretschneideri (Chinese white pear) is the source of this 824-nucleotide long non-coding RNA. RefSeq lists it as uncharacterized. NCBI's taxonomy places the organism in Eukaryota, Viridiplantae, Streptophyta, Magnoliopsida, Rosales, Rosaceae. The transcript is spliced from 5 exons. The record is from RefSeq and is a predicted model, not a curated record.